AGUGAACGCUGGCGGUAGGCCUAACACAUGCAAGUCGAACGGCAGCACAGUAAGAGCUUGCUCUUACGGGUGGCGAGUGGCGGACGGGUGAGGAAUACAUCGGAAUCUACCUUUUCGUGGGGGAUAACGUAGGGAAACUUACGCUAAUACCGCAUACGACCUACGUGUGAAAGCAGGGGAUCUUCGGACCUUGCGCGAUUGAAUGAGCCGAUGUCGGAUUAGCUAGUUGGCGGGGUAAAGGCCCACCAAGGCGACGAUCCGUAGCUGGUCUGAGAGGAUGAUGAGCCACAGUGGAACUGAGACACGGUCCAGACUCCUACGGGAGGCAGCAGUGGGGAAGAUUGGACAAUGGGCGCAAGCCUGAUCCAGCCAUACCGCGUGGGUGAAGAAGGCCUUCGGGUUGUAAAGCCCUUUUGUUGGGAAAGAAAAGCAGCAGGUUAAUACCCCGCUGUUCUGACGGUACCCAAAGAAUAAGCACCGGCUAACUUCGUG
This 492-nucleotide ribosomal RNA is filed under the name uncultured bacterium. RNAcentral's name for it is "partial 16S ribosomal RNA". It matches the Rfam family "Bacterial small subunit ribosomal RNA", at positions 29 to 507 of the family's 1533-position model. The record is from RNAcentral.